GGAAGUAAAGUCGUAACAAGGUUUCCGUAGGUGAACCUGCGGAAGGAUCAUUAUUGUAUAACCGAGGUGCGAGGGCUGUCGCUGACCCGAAAGGUCGUGCACGCCCGAGUGCCCUCACACACAUCCAUCUCACCCCUAUGUGCACCACCGCGUGGGUCCCCCUUUGGCUUGUUCGGAGGGGGGCUUACGUUUUCACACAAACUUUGUAUGCAGUGUAGAAUGUAUUUUUUGUUUUUGCGAUCACGCAAUCAAUACAACUUACAACAACGGAUCUCUUGGCUCUC
This 284-nucleotide unclassified non-coding RNA is filed under the name plant metagenome. RNAcentral describes it as "partial contains small subunit ribosomal RNA and internal transcribed spacer 1". The stretch from base 1 to 53 matches the Rfam family "Eukaryotic small subunit ribosomal RNA", at positions 1778 to 1831 of the family's 1831-position model. The record is from RNAcentral.